RNAcentral lists this ribosomal RNA (497 nucleotides) under uncultured bacterium. Its description in RNAcentral is "partial 16S ribosomal RNA". It matches the Rfam family "Bacterial small subunit ribosomal RNA", at positions 28 to 507 of the family's 1533-position model. The record is from RNAcentral.
GAUGAACGCUGGCGGCGUGCCUAAUACAUGCAAGUCGAGCGAACAGACGAGGAGCUUGCUCCUCUGACGUUAGCGGCGGACGGGUGAGUAACACGUGGAUAACCUACCUAUAAGACUGGGAUAACUUCGGGAAACCGGAGCUAAUACCGGAUAAUAUAUUGAACCGCAUGGUUCAAUAGUGAAAGACGGUUUUGCUGUCACUUAUAGAUGGAUCCGCGCCGCAUUAGCUAGUUGGUAAGGUAACGGCUUACCAAGGCAACGAUGCGUAGCCGACCUGAGAGGGUGAUCGCCCACCCGGGAACUGGGACACGGACAAGGCUCCUACGGGAGGCAGCAGUAGGGAAUCGUCCGCAAUGGGCGAAAGCCUGACGGAGCAACGCCGCGUGAGUGAUGAAGGUCUUCGGAGCGUAAAACUCUGUUAUUAGGGAAGAACAAAUGUGUAAGUAACUAUGCACGUCUUGACGGUACCUAAUCAGAAAGCCACGGCUAACUACGUG